RNAcentral lists this long non-coding RNA (367 nucleotides) under Ictidomys tridecemlineatus (thirteen-lined ground squirrel). RNAcentral describes it as "lncRNA (ENSSTOG00000031764.1)". The record is from RNAcentral. Lineage: Eukaryota; Metazoa; Chordata; Mammalia; Rodentia; Sciuridae.
AUUUCUAAUUACUUAGUUAAAAAAAAUCAACAAUGAAAAACAUUUUCCUGAGAAGAGUACACAAUUUAUCUCAAUAAUUUUUAAGCCAUGAACCAUGUAAGUCAAAGGAUGUCAAAGAAAAUGCUAAAUUUAUAUUUCAUCUGCCUUUCAUAGCAAAGUAAUUUGGAUAUUUUUUGUUGUUUCAUUAAAGCAUAUGGAGAUUGGUCCAUAUACUUGAUUCCUGUUUCACUUAAAAGCUGCACUAGGUGUCAUAUCAGAUUUCCACCACUGAUUUAAUGAUGGCACACAUGAAAAUCAGAACAAUAAACCUCCAUCUGUUAGAGGAAAAAAGUAAAGAAGUUUCUAUUGAGAUGAAUGUGGAUUCCCU